CCUACGGGAGGCAGCAGUGAGGAAUAUUGGUCAAUGGACGAGAGUCUGAACCAGCCAAGUAGCGUGAAGGAUGACUGCCCUAUGGGUUGUAAACUUCUUUUAUAAAGGAAUAAAACGAGGCACGUGUGCCUUUUUGCAUGUACUUUAUGAAUAAGGAUCGGCUAACUCUGUGCCAGCAGCCGCGGUAAUACGGAGGAUCCGAGCGUUAUCCGGAUUUAUUGGGUUUAAAGGGAGCGUAGAUGGGUUGUUAAGUCAGUUGUGAAAGUUUGCGGCUCAACCGUAAAAUUGCAAUUGAUACUGGCAGUCGUGAGUACAGUUGAGGUAGGCGGAAUUCGUGGUGUAGCGGUGAAAUGCUUAGAUAUCACGAAGAACCCCGAUUGCGAAGGCAGCUUACUAAGCUGUGACUGACAUUGAUGCUCGAAAGUGUGGGUAUCAAACAGGAUUAGAUACCCCAGUAGUC
RNAcentral lists this ribosomal RNA (460 nucleotides) under uncultured bacterium. RNAcentral describes it as "partial 16S ribosomal RNA". It matches the Rfam family "Bacterial small subunit ribosomal RNA", at positions 338 to 795 of the family's 1533-position model. The record is from RNAcentral.